UCACUAUAGUCUAGAUGAGAAGUCAAAUAGAAAGGUCAGAGGUCAAAUGUGGUAUUAAAUCCUAAUGUGGUACAUUCUUAUGUUGACAAUACACACCAUACUUUUAAGAAUCCAAGGUAUAAGAUAAAUUAUAAGGCUUUUUAUAAGGUGUUUCUCUAUGAAAAUAGUUAAGAUCAUCAUGCAAAUACAUAGGAAGGCUCUUCUUUGUAUCUGCCAACAGAGGCGUUAUGGUCACACUCCUUAAAGCAAGAGGUUCAGGUGCUAUUCUUUUUUUUUUUAAUCUUGAAAGCACCAGUUUCCGAAUCAGCACCCUAAGUAGAAUGAUCAAACUUUCAAUAACGAAAGAAAUUAAAGCGUCUGUCUGAUAUAAUCUGUAGCAGACAAUGAUUUCCAUGCGUAUAUGGUGCAAUUCCCGGGUCUAUCAUCAAGUAACAACAAGUCUUUGAGGGUAAGACAUGACAGUAACAGUAGAUGGAAAACAUGAAACCGCAUUCUGUUUAUUUAAAGAUUUAACUUGUAUGGUCAUCUGUAGGGUGUAGCUGUAGGAACCCCAGAGUGCACCAAGACGCUCCAGUCCUCCAGGUGGAAAGAGUAGUGGAAUAUUUGGUGAACCUGAGCCUGCUGCUCAACCACAGAGACCCAUACCUCCAGGUGGACCAACCAGCAACAUACUUGGGCCUGCAGUCACUGCACCUGCACAAAGUCCAAGCCGAAGCCACCCAAAUAAGCCAAAGGACAAUCUAAGUGUGGGACCUGAACCUGAAUCACCAG
Molecule: long non-coding RNA, 771 nt
Organism: Oreochromis aureus
Lineage: Eukaryota; Metazoa; Chordata; Actinopteri; Cichliformes; Cichlidae
Exons: 3
Source: RefSeq, a predicted model, not a curated record